CAUAAAAUUACAUUCAUCUGAAUAUGCACGAGACCAUCAACCAGCAAGCGAGUAUGUAACUCCUGAAUUUCUUAGUCUUCCCUAAUUAAUUAAUUUUAGGUCUAACCAUGUUUUUGUACCAUAAUCUAGUGACAGGUAGUAUUACGCAACGUCACAUGGGCGCUCGUACAGAAAAUUAGGCACACCAGCAAAUAGGACCUGCAUUUUGGAUGUAUCAGCUUGACAUCACGUGCUACAUACAUCUACAAUCGAUUGCUACAGUCAAAAACAUGGGAAGAAAGGCACACGCCCUCACAAGCACAGCUGACAUUAUGAAUUUAUACGAUCUGCUUGUACGUACACCAUCUAAAACAAAAUUUCAAAUAUUUGACCUUUCCCCUAUUAAGAUUCUAUGUAUGUAUGUCUGCUAGUUUGUCCCCGAUUCACCGAAUGAAGGAAAACGUCAAGAAAAUUAAGCAUGCAGUGCCUUCAAAAAUUAGUUUCUAACUGAUCCCAGCUCCUCAUUCCUGGCGUCGUUCUUCGUUAUUUCCCCAGCUGACAGAAACUGAACGCACGAAAAUUCGAAAAGACAACACCACAAAUAUCCAUAGAACACCAACUGAACUGCAUAUAUGAUCCAAAUGACAGGAGAGAGAGAGAGAGAGNN
This 646-nucleotide long non-coding RNA is filed under the name Hordeum vulgare. RNAcentral's name for it is "long non-coding RNA (HVUL_LNC001535)". The record is from RNAcentral. Lineage: Eukaryota; Viridiplantae; Streptophyta; Magnoliopsida; Poales; Poaceae.